Molecule: ribosomal RNA, 521 nt
Filed under: uncultured bacterium
Lineage: Bacteria
Description: bacterial SSU rRNA
Rfam family: Bacterial small subunit ribosomal RNA
Source: RNAcentral
AGAGUUUGAUCCUGGCUCAGGAUGAACGCUGGCGGUCUGCUUAACACAUGCAAGUCGAACGGACUCUUCGGAGUUAGUGGCGGACGGGUGAGUAACGCGUGAGAAUCUGCCUCCAGGACGGGGACAACAGAGGGAAACUUCUGCUAAUCCCGGAUGAGCCGAAAGGUCAAAGAUUUAUCGCCUGGAGAUGAGCUCGCGUCUGAUUAGCUAGUUGGUGAGGUAAAAGCUUACCAAGGCAACGAUCAGUAGCUGGUCUGAGAGGAUGAUCAGCCACACUGGGACUGAGACACGGCCCAGACUCCUACGGGAGGCAGCAGUGGGGAAUUUUCCGCAAUGGGCGCAAGCCUGACGGAGCAAGACCGCGUGGGGGAGGAAAGCCUUUGGGUUGUAAACCCCUUUUCUCAGGGAAGAAGAAAGUGACGGUACCUGAGGAAUCAGCCUCGGCUAACUCCGUGCCAGCAGCCGCGGUAAUACGGAGGAGGCAAGCGUUAUCCGGAAUGAUUGGGCGUAAAGCGUUCGUA